RNAcentral lists this ribosomal RNA (497 nucleotides) under uncultured bacterium. Its description in RNAcentral is "partial 16S ribosomal RNA". It matches the Rfam family "Bacterial small subunit ribosomal RNA", at positions 28 to 507 of the family's 1533-position model. The record is from RNAcentral.
GAUGAACGCUGGCGGCGUGCCUAAUACAUGCAAGUCGAGCGAACGGACGAGAAUCUUGCUUCUCUCAUGUUUGCGGCGGGCGGGUGAGUAACACGUGGAACACCUACCUAUAAGUCUGGGAAAACCUCGGGAAACCGGAGCUAAUCCCGGAGAAUCUCUUGAACCGCGUGGGUGAAAGGUGAAAUACGGUCUUUCGGUCAGUUAUAGCUGGUUCCGCGCUGCAUUAGCUAGUUGGUAAGGUAACGGCUUACCAAGGCAACGAUGCAUAGCCGACCUGAGGGGGUGAUCGGCCACACUGGAACUGAGACACGGUCCAGACUCCUACGGGAGGCAGCAGUAGGGAAUCUUCCGCAAUGGGCGAAAGCCUGACGGAGCAACGCCGCGUGAGUGAUGAAGGUCUUCGGAUCGUAAAACUCUGUUAUUAGGGAAGAACAGAUGUGUAAGUAACUGUGCACAUCUUGACGGUACCUAAUCAGAAAGCCACGGCUAACUACGUG